This is a small nuclear RNA of Callithrix jacchus (white-tufted-ear marmoset), 107 nucleotides long. The record is from Ensembl. Lineage: Eukaryota; Metazoa; Chordata; Mammalia; Primates; Cebidae.
GUGCUCACUUCGGCAGCACAUAUACUGAAAUUGGAAUGAUAUAGAGGAGAUUAGCAUGGCCCCUGUGCAAGGAUGACAUGCAAAUUCGUGAAGCGUUCCAUAUGAAA